This 24-nucleotide non-coding RNA is filed under the name Arabidopsis thaliana (thale cress). The record is from RNAcentral. Lineage: Eukaryota; Viridiplantae; Streptophyta; Magnoliopsida; Brassicales; Brassicaceae.
GCAAACGCAGCGUUUGCGGGUGGC